AUUGAACGCUGGCGGAAUGCUUUACACAUGCAAGUCGAACGGCAGCACAGGUGCUUGCACCUGGUGGCGAGUGGCGAACGGGUGAGUAAUACAUCGGAACGUGCCCAGACGUGGGGGAUAGCUCGGCGAAAGCCGAAUUAAUACCGCAUACGAUCUACGGAUGAAAGCGGGGGGAUCGCAAGACCUCGCGCGUUUGGAGCGGCCGAUGGCAGAUUAGGUAGUUGGUGGGGUAAAGGCUUACCAAGCCUGCGAUCUGUAGCUGGCUGAGAGGACGACCAGCCACACUGGGACUGAGACACGGCCCAGACUCCUACGGGAGGCAGCAGUGGGGAAUUUUGGACAAUGGGCGAAAGCCUGAUCCAGCCAUUCCGCGUGCAGGAUGAAGGCCCUCGGGUUGUAAACUGCUUUUGUACGGAACGAAAAGCCCUCUUCUAAUACAGGGGGUCAUGACGGUACCGUAAGAAUAAGCACCGGCUAACUACGUGCCAGCAGCCGCGGU
RNAcentral lists this ribosomal RNA (499 nucleotides) under uncultured bacterium. Its description in RNAcentral is "bacterial SSU rRNA". It matches the Rfam family "Bacterial small subunit ribosomal RNA", at positions 30 to 521 of the family's 1533-position model. The record is from RNAcentral.